Molecule: ribosomal RNA, 1331 nt
Filed under: Lactobacillus sp. TAB-16
Lineage: Bacteria; Bacillati; Bacillota; Bacilli; Lactobacillales; Lactobacillaceae
Also listed under: 3 other names
Description: bacterial SSU rRNA
Rfam family: Bacterial small subunit ribosomal RNA
Source: RNAcentral
UGAUUGAUUUUGGUCGCCAACGAGUGGCGGACGGGUGAGUAACACGUAGGUAACCUGCCCAGAAGCGGGGGACAACAUUUGGAAACAGAUGCUAAUACCGCAUAACAGCGUUGUUCGCAUGAACAACGCUUAAAAGAUGGCUUCUCGCUAUCACUUCUGGAUGGACCUGCGGUGCAUUAGCUUGUUGGUGGGGUAACGGCCUACCAAGGCGAUGAUGCAUAGCCGAGUUGAGAGACUGAUCGGCCACAAUGGGACUGAGACACGGCCCAUACUCCUACGGGAGGCAGCAGUAGGGAAUCUUCCACAAUGGGCGCAAGCCUGAUGGAGCAACACCGCGUGAGUGAAGAAGGGUUUCGGCUCGUAAAGCUCUGUUGUUAAAGAAGAACACGUAUGAGAGUAACUGUUCAUACGUUGACGGUAUUUAACCAGAAAGUCACGGCUAACUACGUGCCAGCAGCCGCGGUAAUACGUAGGUGGCAAGCGUUAUCCGGAUUUAUUGGGCGUAAAGAGAGUGCAGGCGGUUUUCUAAGUCUGAUGUGAAAGCCUUCGGCUUAACCGGAGAAGUGCAUCGGAAACUGGAUAACUUGAGUGCAGAAGAGGGUAGUGGAACUCCAUGUGUAGCGGUGGAAUGCGUAGAUAUAUGGAAGAACACCAGUGGCGAAGGCGGCUACCUGGUCUGCAACUGACGCUGAGACUCGAAAGCAUGGGUAGCGAACAGGAUUAGAUACCCUGGUAGUCCAUGCCGUAAACGAUGAGUGCUAGGUGUUGGAGGGUUUCCGCCCUUCAGUGCCGGAGCUAACGCAUUAAGCACUCCGCCUGGGGAGUACGACCGCAAGGUUGAAACUCAAAGGAAUUGACGGGGGCCCGCACAAGCGGUGGAGCAUGUGGUUUAAUUCGAAGCUACGCGAAGAACCUUACCAGGUCUUGACAUCUUGCGCCAACCCUAGAGAUAGGGCGUUUCCUUCGGGAACGCAAUGACAGGUGGUGCAUGGUCGUCGUCAGCUCGUGUCGUGAGAUGUUGGGUUAAGUCCCGCAACGAGCGCAACCCUUGUUACUAGUUGCCAGCAUUAAGUUGGGCACUCUAGUGAGACUGCCGGUGACAAACCGGAGGAAGGUGGGGACGACGUCAGAUCAUCAUGCCCCUUAUGACCUGGGCUACACACGUGCUACAAUGGACGGUACAACGAGUCGCGAACUCGCGAGGGCAAGCAAAUCUCUUAAAACCGUUCUCAGUUCGGACUGCAGGCUGCAACUCGCCUGCACGAAGUCGGAAUCGCUAGUAAUCGCGGAUCAGCAUGCCGCGGUGAAUACGUUCCCGGGCCUUGUACACA